UUAUUCAUCCUUUCUAAAUCCUGAAAAUAUAUGUUUAUUGUUAAAUAUUGAACCAUGCAUGUGAAAUUUAGACAGAAAUUGUGUUUUAGUCAUGCAAAAAUGGGUUUGUUUAUUAUUAUUAUUAUUGCAUAUUUUAUCAAACAAAUGCUCCCCUUUUUUCCAACUGCUGAUACACCUGAUAGUAUUGUCAUCAACAGUUUUCAGCGCAACUCCCCUCCUGCUGUCACCAGCGGUGAGCCAAGUUAUAGGUGUUUGCACACUUGGUCACCUGAGUUCUUCUGAUAGAUGACAUCUAUCUCAAGUUGAGACAAUCAAAAUAACGGCCAGUAUAUGUAUCUGUACCCAAUUUUACCUUGGUUGAUUUUCCAUGGGCAGCUGAAUUAUUGUUGUGAGUGCAAAUGUUGGCAUUACCGUUUUGCAAUGAGGUUAUCUUCCUUUCAUCACUAAAAUACUCAUAGUCAAGAUUUCCUUUGGUUGCAUACCAGCAAAAUGCAGCUUUUGGUUUUGACCAAAGCUUUUUCGAUAGCUACUGCAGUUUGAGAGUAUCCAAGCAAUUCUAUAUAUCAAGGGCUGUUGGUACAUGAGAUGGGUUAUUAGAAGCAUGGUAGACGGAAGUUGGCCAGACCCUUCAGGAAGCAACACAAACAAUGGAACUCGUCUUGUUAGAGCAAUCCAGAAUUUCCAAAUCAAAUUAAAUUCCAAGCUCCAAGAGCUGAGGAAAGGCCUAGUAAUGAAGGUUCUUUUCUUCUUACUAGGUUUUUAUUGUGCGGCCGCAUUUGCAACAGUUAUAGGGCAAACAGGUGACUGGGACAUUCUCUUUGCUGGCAUUGCUGUCGUUGUGGUCAAGGCCAUUGGUGCUCUCAUGUACAGAGCUUCUUUCCAUAUACUGGACAAACUCAAAAGCCUCAUCGCAUUUUUCAACUAUUGGAAGGCAGAUCUUUCCCUGGGGUUGUUCUUAGAUGCGUUCAAGUACAUCUUCCAGCCCAUUUCAAAUCCAAUUUGAAUUGCUUGAGGAAGAUGAGCAGAUAAUGGACUUCAUUACGAAUGGCUGCAAAUUUUUGCUUGACAUCUCUUCAUCAGCCAAUUCUGGGUUGCACGUUUUUUAUUUCUUGGCCAAUUCUAUAUUGAAUGAAGUUCUUUUGUCAAUUCAAAAAGGG
Molecule: RNA transcript, 1157 nt
Organism: Dioscorea cayenensis subsp. rotundata (Guinea yam)
Lineage: Eukaryota; Viridiplantae; Streptophyta; Magnoliopsida; Dioscoreales; Dioscoreaceae
Gene name: ycf20-like protein
Exons: 5
Source: RefSeq, a predicted model, not a curated record